CCCGACUUCCCACGCGGCGCCGUCUUCCGGAAUCCCCCAGGGCCUGAUCGCAGCAAGGGCACGGGAGCUCCGGCGGGUGCGUGGGAAGUCCUUUAU
Molecule: signal recognition particle RNA, 96 nt
Filed under: Arcanobacterium sp. S3PF19
Lineage: Bacteria; Bacillati; Actinomycetota; Actinomycetes; Actinomycetales; Actinomycetaceae
Description: Bacterial small signal recognition particle RNA
Rfam family: Bacterial small signal recognition particle RNA
About the family: The signal recognition particle (SRP) is a universally conserved ribonucleoprotein involved in the co-translational targeting of proteins to membranes. Archaeal SRP consists of a 7S RNA and homologues of the eukaryotic SRP19 and SRP54 proteins.
Source: Rfam by way of RNAcentral